ACUACGCUUUGUUUACUGAGGUAUGAUUAUUACACCUGAUGGGAUCCUAUCAUUUAUUCCUUCAGGGAGCAUUUGGGAAGCCUCAGGAUGAAUAUUUCAGUGCUAGACAUAGGAAGAUCAGCCACCAUCUGCGCCUUCAGUUAACGCAGGCACCCACAUGGCCCUAACACUUCAAGGAGCGUAGCAGUUGAAGGCUGUACAGAGGUGUCAUGCAGUGGCAAAGGCAGGUUGAUGUUGGAAAGCCAGUCGGCCAACAUUAAACAGGUGGAAAAGCUCCUUGGAUGACUCUGUGAAGAUCUCACAGUGGCGGGAAGUCGACACUCUAUGGUAAACCCACAUGGGCCAGAGAUCUUCAUUGACUUAAACAUCCACUGGCUCUUCCCUGCGUGCCGGGACUCACAACAGAGACAGAGCAGGUGUGGGUCCAUUCAACUCUGUGUGUCCCUCACUUACGGGGCGCUUGGGCAGAGGUUGGCCUGUGAUCAUAACCAGGAAGAGAGGAUUCUUCUUUGGGUUGGAUGAGUAAUAAACGAACUUGCAGGCCUGCU
RNAcentral lists this long non-coding RNA (548 nucleotides) under Macaca mulatta (Rhesus monkey). RNAcentral's name for it is "lncRNA (ENSMMUG00000058514.1)". Lineage: Eukaryota; Metazoa; Chordata; Mammalia; Primates; Cercopithecidae. The record is from RNAcentral.